This 447-nucleotide ribosomal RNA is filed under the name uncultured bacterium. RNAcentral's name for it is "bacterial SSU rRNA". It matches the Rfam family "Bacterial small subunit ribosomal RNA", at positions 328 to 792 of the family's 1533-position model. The record is from RNAcentral.
UGCCCAGACUCCUACGGGAGGCAGCAGUGGGGAAUAUUGCACAAUGGGGGAAACCCUGAUGCAGCGACGCCGCGUGAGUGAAGAAGUAUUUCGGUAUGUAAAGCUCUAUCAGCAGGGAAGAAAAUGACGGUACCUGAUUAAGAAGCCCCGGCUAACUACGCGCCAGCAGCCGCGGCAAUACGUAGGGGGCAAGCGUUAUCCGGAUUUACUGGGUGUAAAGGGAGCGUAGACGGCAGCGCAAGUCUGAAGUGAAAGCCCGGGGCUCAACCGCGGGACUGCUUUGGAAACUGUUAAGCUGGAGUGCAGGAGAGGUAAGUGGAAUUCCUAGUGUAGCGGUGAAAUGCGUAGAUAUUAGGAGGAACACCAGUGGCGAAGGCGGCUUACUGGACUGUAACUGACGUUGAGGCUCGAAAGCGUGGGGAGCAAACAGGAUUAGAUACCCGGGUA